This 428-nucleotide ribosomal RNA is filed under the name Pseudomonadota bacterium. Its description in RNAcentral is "Proteobacteria bacterium partial 16S ribosomal RNA". It matches the Rfam family "Bacterial small subunit ribosomal RNA", at positions 355 to 775 of the family's 1533-position model. Lineage: Bacteria; Pseudomonadati; Pseudomonadota. The record is from RNAcentral.
UGGGGAAUAUUGGACAAUGGGCGAAAGCCUGAUCCAGCCAUGCCGCGUGUGUGAAGAAGGUCUUCGGAUUGUAAAGCACUUUAAGUUGGGAGGAAGGGCAGUAAGCGAAUACCUUGCUGUUUUGACGUUACCGACAGAAUAAGCUCCGGCUAACUCUGUGCCAGCAGCCGCGGUAAUACAGAGGGUGCAAGCGUUAAUCGGAAUUACUGGGCGUAAAGCGCGCGUAGGUGGUUCGUUAAGUUGAAUGUGAAAGCCCCGGGCUCAACCUGGGAACUGCAUCCAAAACUGGCGAGCUAGAGUAGGGCAGAGGGUGGUGGAAUUUCCUGUGUAGCGGUGAAAUGCGUAGAUAUAGGAAGGAACACCAGUGGCGAAGGCGACCACCUGGGCUCAUACUGACACUGAGGUGCGAAAGCGUGGGGAGCAAACAG